RNAcentral lists this long non-coding RNA (212 nucleotides) under Elaeis guineensis (African oil palm). RNAcentral describes it as "long non-coding RNA (EGUI_LNC070638)". The record is from RNAcentral. Lineage: Eukaryota; Viridiplantae; Streptophyta; Magnoliopsida; Arecales; Arecaceae.
CUGUAGAAGUCGGGGAUAAAGUCCGACUCCCGUAGGAGUCUGGAUGAAGUCUACCUGCUAUAGGAGUCAGGGACGAAGUCCGGCUCCCGUAGGAGUCCGGAUGAAGUCUACCUACUGUAGAAGUCGGGGACGAAGUCUGGCUCCCGUAGGAGUCCGGAUGAAGUCUACCUGCUGUAGAAGUCGGGGAUGAAGUCCGGCUCCCGUAGGAGUCC